AUGAACGCUGGCGGCGUGCCUAAUCCCUGCCAGUCGAGCGAACAGACGAGGAGCUUGCUCCUCUGACGUUAGCGGCGGACGGGUGAGUAACACGUGGAUAACCUACCUAUAAGACUGGGAUAACUUCGGGAAACCGGAGCUAAUACCGGAUAAUAUAUUGAACCGCAUGGUUCAAUAGUGAAAGACGGUUUUGCUGUCACUUAUAGAUGGAUCCGCGCCGCAUUAGCUAGUUGGUAAGGUAACGGCUUACCAAGGCGACGAUGCGUAGCCGACCUGAGAGGGUGAUCGGCCACACUGGAACUGAGACACGGUCCAGACUCCUACGGGAGGCAGCAGUAGGGAAUCUUCCGCAAUGGGCGAAAGCCUGACGGAGCAACGCCGCGUGAGUGAUGAAGGUCUUCGGAUCGUAAAACUCUGUUAUUAGGGAAGAACAAAUGUGUAAGUAACUAUGCACGUCUUGACGGUACCUAAUCAGAAAGCCACGGCUAACUACGUG
This 496-nucleotide ribosomal RNA is filed under the name uncultured bacterium. RNAcentral describes it as "partial 16S ribosomal RNA". It matches the Rfam family "Bacterial small subunit ribosomal RNA", at positions 29 to 507 of the family's 1533-position model. The record is from RNAcentral.